GACGAACGCUGGCGGCGUGCUUAACACAUGCAAGUCGAACGGAAAGGCCCUGCUUUUGUGGGGUGCUCGAGUGGCGAACGGGUGAGUAACACGUGAGUAACCUGCCCUUGACUUUGGGAUAACUUCAGGAAACUGGGGCUAAUACCGGAUAGGAGCUCCUGCUGCAUGGUGGGGGUUGGAAAGUUUCGGCGGUUGGGGAUGGACUCGCGGCUUAUCAGCUUGUUGGUGGGGUAGUGGCUUACCAAGGCUUUGACGGGUAGCCGGCCUGAGAGGGUGACCGGCCACAUUGGGACUGAGAUACGGCACAGACUCCUACGGGAGGCAGCAGUGGGGAAUAUUGCACAAGGGGCGGAAGCCUGAUGCAGCAACGCCGCGUGCGGGAUGACGGCCUUCGGGUUGUAAACCGCUUUCGCCUGUGACGAAGCGUGAGUGGCGGUAAUGGGUAAAGAAGCACCGGCUAACUACGUG
Molecule: ribosomal RNA, 468 nt
Filed under: uncultured bacterium
Lineage: Bacteria
Description: partial 16S ribosomal RNA
Rfam family: Bacterial small subunit ribosomal RNA
Source: RNAcentral